Molecule: unclassified non-coding RNA, 235 nt
Filed under: Hevea brasiliensis (rubber tree)
Lineage: Eukaryota; Viridiplantae; Streptophyta; Magnoliopsida; Malpighiales; Euphorbiaceae
Source: RNAcentral
GGCUGAGGACGAAUAUGCACCCUUUAAGGCCCAGGAGAUUGCCUGCUGACCACCUCCUACAUUAGGAAGUCAGAGGCUAAGGUGGACCCACACUCCAUUGCAGAGACUGUUGAGUCUCUGAAAAAGUGAGUGUCCAGGAAGAGAGACAAAAAGAAACAAGUAGGUAAAGCUGCUUCUUUUCUUCCACAUGCUCACUGCACAUUGUUGUUGAGGAUGCAGGGAUCCACCUCAGUAU